GCUGUGUUGGACGGUCCGGGUCGGGUUACACUUUGGACAAUCUCCCCCCCACUCUGGGGCGGGCCCUGGCAACGGGGUUUAAUACCGCAUACGAGUUCCUCCGGCAUCUGGGAUUCUGGGAAGCUUCGGUGGUGUAGGAUGAGCCCCCGGCCUAUCAGCUCGUUGGGGAGGGGACGGCUCACCAAGGCGACGACGGGUAGCCGUGCUUGGAGGGGGACCGGCCACACUGGGACUGUGACACGGCCCACACUCUUACGGGAGGCGGAGGUGGGGAAUAUUGCACACUGGGCGCGAGCCUGAUGCAGAGACACCCAGUGAGGGAUGACGGCCUUUGGGUUGUGAACCUCUUUCACCACGGAAGAAGAGAGAGGGACGGUACCUGCACAAGAAGCGCCGGGUACCUACGUGCCAACAACCUGCGGUAAUACGUACGGCAGCAAGCAGUUGUCCGGAAUCAUUGGGCGUAAAGAGCUAGUAGGCGGCUCUGUCACGUAGGAUGAGAAAGCCCGGGGCUUAACCCCCGGGUCUGCAUCCGAUACAGGUCAGGCUAGAGUUCGCGUACGGGACAUCGGAAUUCCGUGGUGUAGCGAUGAAGAUGCGCAGAUAUCAGGAGAAACACCGGUGACGAAGGCGGAGCUCUGGGCCGCAUACUGACACUCAGGAGCGAAAGCACUGACGAGACGAACAGGAUUAGACACCCUGGCAGUCCACACCGUAAUACGGUGGGCACUCAGGUGCGGGCAACAUUACACGUUGUCCGUGCCGCAGCUAACGCAUGAAGUGCCCCCGCCUGGGGAGUACGACCGCAACGCUAAAACUCAAAGGAAUCGACAGGGGCCCACACAACCGACUGGAGCAUGUGGCUUAAUACGACGCAAGCGUAAUGAACCUUUACCAAAGGCUUGACAUACACAGCCAAACCGUCCACAUGAUGGGCGCCCCCUAGUGGUCGGUGUACAGGUGGUGCAUGGCUGUCGUCAGCUCGUGUCGUGAGAUGUUGGGUUAAGUCCCGCAUCGAGCACAACCCUUGUCCCGUGUUACCAUCUGCUUUUGGGAGGUUGGGAGGUCACGGGAAACCGCCGGGGACAAAUCGGAGGAAGGUGGGUGGGGAGUCCGGUCAUCAUUCCCCUUAUGUAUUGGCAUGCCCACGUGGUACAAUGGCCGGUACAAACAAAUACGAGCCCCCCAGGUAGAACAAAUCUCAAAAAUCCGGUCUCAGGUCGGAUUGGGGGCUGCAGCCGCCCCCAUGAAAUCGGAGUCGCUAGUAAUCGCACAUCAACAAUCAGCGGUGGUACGUUCCCGGCCCGGUUGCGCGCCCCGCCCAUAAACUCCACCCAAUGGCAGGGUGACUAUCG
This 1355-nucleotide ribosomal RNA is filed under the name Streptomyces sp. Its description in RNAcentral is "bacterial SSU rRNA". It matches the Rfam family "Bacterial small subunit ribosomal RNA", at positions 87 to 1426 of the family's 1533-position model. The record is from RNAcentral. Lineage: Bacteria; Bacillati; Actinomycetota; Actinomycetes; Kitasatosporales; Streptomycetaceae.